UACGAAGGGGGCUAGCGUUGCUCGGAAUCACUGGGCGUAAAGCGCACGUAGGCGGCUUGUUAAGUCAGGGGUGAAAUCCUGGAGCUCAACUCCAGAACUGCCUUCGAUACUGGAGAGCUUGAGUCCGGGAGAGGUGAGUGGAACUGCGAGUGUAGAGGUGAAAUUCGUAGAUAUUCGCAAGAACACCAGUGGCGAAGGCGGCUCACUGGACACGUAUUGACGCUGAGGUGCGAAAGCGUGGGGAGCAAACAGGG
RNAcentral lists this ribosomal RNA (254 nucleotides) under uncultured bacterium. RNAcentral describes it as "partial 16S ribosomal RNA". It matches the Rfam family "Bacterial small subunit ribosomal RNA", at positions 524 to 777 of the family's 1533-position model. The record is from RNAcentral.